AAGACGCGAAGGGUUAGGUUUGCUGCUGGUGUGAAUGCAGUCUUCUCAGGAAGGUCCGCACAGAGAGUCAGACACACGGGCAGUAAUGAAUAGAGCCUGACCCGCAGGCGGCUGGAUAUUGACGAUAAACGUGUCUUGAGCGCUAGAGACUGGCCGUGGGGGGUUUUCCCGUGGAAAGGUUUCGUUAGUAGCGCUAGGGGAGUUCAAGAUUGUGCUGAGAUGCCACAGAAACCAGACUCGCCCUGACAGUAGCAGACUAGACACACCUGAGCAGACAGGUGGCAGCCCCACCCUAUACACAGCACCAGGCUGGACUCCAAAUCAUAUAUUAGGAGGAUUUGAGUUAGCGUGCAUGACAGAUUGUCACGUUAAACACGAGCAGCACUAACGCAGACGCAACCUGGAGUGUCUUAUAUAACUUAGAAAGCUCUCCUGCAUCAGAAGUGCCGUCGUCCUCACUCAGUCACAUUCUGGUGGUUCGACCCGUUCCUGUCCUGCCUGACCGGUGGGGGUGUUGGUCAGACAGCGGGCAGUGCCAUGCCCCAGGCGUAAGUACGUGUCUCCUGGCAGACUCGGGCGUGGUGGUCCGCCGGUUG
This 596-nucleotide long non-coding RNA is filed under the name Sinocyclocheilus grahami. Its description in RNAcentral is "lncRNA (ENSSGRG00000037184.1)". The record is from RNAcentral. Lineage: Eukaryota; Metazoa; Chordata; Actinopteri; Cypriniformes; Cyprinidae.